Molecule: long non-coding RNA, 1242 nt
Organism: Neofelis nebulosa (Clouded leopard)
Lineage: Eukaryota; Metazoa; Chordata; Mammalia; Carnivora; Felidae
Exons: 3
Source: RefSeq, a predicted model, not a curated record
UUUAUGCAGCAUCGAACAGUUUUGGGCCUACGUAUGUAGUUUUCUUCUCUUGGUUUCUUCAGGGUAACUUCCUUGGAGUGUGAGUUUCUUGUUGAUCCUUGCUUUGCAUUGACAGUGCAAAGUGAUCGGGCCAAGUUAGCUUGGGACAGGCCAUAAAUAAGUAUACUAGUUUUGCUGUGUGCCCAUUAGCAUUAAGAAUGAUCAUUUUUUACUCUUUUUUCCAAAGGUAUCAUUUCAUUUCCCACAAAAGUCCAAAAUGGCCGGAAAAAAGCAGAACUGAUUGCCCUUCAGUCGCCUGGUCUGAGGCCAUGCAUACAUAAUGGCAGGGAGAUCUUAAUCAGUGUCACGGACAUGAGUUCUUUGAGAAGGUCACAAAAGCCCUGCUCCGUCUCCCCAGAAAACGGCUGCCUAUAAUUGCAGGGGGUUCAAGCUCACGGUUUCCCGGGACAUUUGUGCAGAUGAAAUUGAUCAGCGGCAGGAGGAAGAUAGCUGUUGCCUAGGCAACCAGCCGAUGACUCAUCCUGGCUUUGAAGCAGCAAAAGCCAUGAGCCUGCAGUAAUUUUCCAGAUGCUUAACCUGUCCUCCUCCUUCUCUGUCUUUCUUUGUUUUCCUGUCUCCAUCCUUCAUUUCUUUCUGCACCCUCACUUCCCCGGGUCCUCCCUAAACUUGACACUGAGUGCGGCAGGAUCUCUGCAGGGGGUGGGUAUAGGGGGUGGUCCUGAGCUCCCCAGAGCAGUUAUGUGGACCUCAUCCCACCAGUAAUAGGUGGCUUUCCCUGCUGCUGCUCCUUAUGUCUCCUAACCGGGAAAUGGCCAGGCUGUCACCGUCGGUGCUGCAGAGCCCCCAAGAUGCUGCUUGUUGCCCUUGAUCAGAGAACCUCAAGUGAACCCGGCACUUUUUCUUUGAAUCUAAACUAAACGGAGCACACCCCUUUAUCUCAGAGAUCUGCAGUGUUCCUUUGAGGACAGACAGUUAUCCUGUGGGCCUCCCAAGCCAAGUUGCGCCAGUGACGUUUACAGGCGACAGAGGCCACAGUUGGCAGCUCUCUGGAUGCUGGGUUUUCCCAUCCUCCUUCGCUGACGUUCCCCACUCCUCAUCUUGUGUCUGAUGUUCCAGGCCCUUCUUAAUUAGCCAUUGCAAUCGUCUCUACAACGCGGAGUAUAGAAGCUUGAACCGUUCCCCUUCCAAAAGCAUUUUCAUUUUAACAAGGUUUUCAGAAGCAAAAUAUUUGAAAACUCAGGG